Danio rerio (zebrafish) is the source of this 82-nucleotide non-coding RNA. NCBI's taxonomy places the organism in Eukaryota, Metazoa, Chordata, Actinopteri, Cypriniformes, Danionidae. The record is from Rfam.
GUCAGGAUGGCCGAGCGGUCUAAGGCGCUGCGUUUAGGUAGCAGUCUCCUCUGGAGGCGUGGGUUGAAUCCCACUUCUGACA